Molecule: ribosomal RNA, 240 nt
Filed under: uncultured Eubacteriales bacterium
Lineage: Bacteria; Bacillati; Bacillota; Clostridia; Eubacteriales
Description: uncultured Clostridiales bacterium partial 16S ribosomal RNA
Rfam family: Bacterial small subunit ribosomal RNA
Source: RNAcentral
CACGCCGUAAACGCUGAUUACUAGGUGUAGGGGGUAUAGACUCCCUCUGUGCCGCAGUUAACGCAUUAAGUAAUCCACCUGGGGAGUACGGCCGCAAGGUUAAAACUCAAAGGAAUUGACGGGGGCCCGCACAAGCAGUGGAGCAUGUGGUUUAAUUCGAGGCUACGCGAAGAACCUUACCAGGGCUUGACAGGAAACUUAAGACCCUAGAGAUAGGGGGAUAAUAAGUGAAACAGGUGG